UGGCGGACGGGUGAGUAAUGUCUGGGAAACUGCCUGAUGGAGGGGGAUAACUACUGGAAACGGUAGCUAAUACCGCAUAACGUCGCAAGACCAAAGAGGGGGACCUUAGGGCCUCUUGCCAUCGGAUGUGCCCAGAUGGGAUUAGCUAGUAGGUGGGGUAAAGGCUCACCUAGGCGACGAUCCCUAGCUGGUCUGAGAGGAUGACCAGCCGCACUGGAACUGAGACACGGUCCAG
This 235-nucleotide ribosomal RNA is filed under the name uncultured bacterium. Its description in RNAcentral is "partial 16S ribosomal RNA". It matches the Rfam family "Bacterial small subunit ribosomal RNA", at positions 96 to 334 of the family's 1533-position model. The record is from RNAcentral.